RNAcentral lists this long non-coding RNA (585 nucleotides) under Helianthus annuus (common sunflower). The record is from RNAcentral. Lineage: Eukaryota; Viridiplantae; Streptophyta; Magnoliopsida; Asterales; Asteraceae.
UGGUUUUGAAAAGCAAUCUUUUUCUGCCUAAAAGACAUGAAUUCCUUCCUAUUUUCUCAAGAAACAAAACAAAUAGAGAGAGAAAGAUUGGAUGUCUCUCACCACCGCAAAUUGCCACAAACCACAGCAAACUACAUCCUCCACCUUACAGCUAGGGUUCUACAAAGAUGCCACAAACCACCACGAACUACAUCCUCCACUUUACAGCUAGGGUUCUACAAAGAUGCCGAUAUCCAAGACAUUUUGAGCAGGGAAAAGACGUUGCGUCGUCAAGUAAAGGGGAUUGAGCGAUGUGCUCUGGUGGUAGCCUGCAGUGCGAUUUUGUUUGUUUAGAGAUGAUGAUGGGGAUAUGGUUUCAAAGAAGAACGGACUCAGGAAGAGAUUGUGAAGUUGAAGAAGAAGCAUUGACAAGGGAGGAGCAAUAAUUAUUGACAAGGGAAAGCAUAGUAUAUUAGUAUUAAUAAAAACACAGGUUGGACUCUAAAUUUUUAUGGAUAUUACAUAGCAUUAAUGGAUUAUGUAAAGAAAACUCUUGAAAUAGUAAGUGUUAGUUAAUUCUCAGUUUUAAACAUGCUACAAUGUGCA